GUGAAUCAUCAAAUUUUUGAACGCAAAUUGCACUCACUGGUAAUCCGGUGAGUAUGCCUGUUUGAGGGUCAGUUUAAAUAAAAAUCGUUUUGGUUACUGCCUUUCGUGUUGACUCACCGGAUGUGGGUCGUCUUGCCUUCGGUUAAGUGACCUAAAAUUUUGCAUGAUUUUUUCGAACGUAUUUAAAUGACUUUACGUACGAUUGCGAUAGCUGAUUCUUGGUGUGGACAUCCUCAUGAUUCGC
This 244-nucleotide unclassified non-coding RNA is filed under the name Glomus sp. RNAcentral's name for it is "partial contains 5.8S ribosomal RNA and internal transcribed spacer 2". The stretch from base 1 to 71 matches the Rfam family "5.8S ribosomal RNA", at positions 84 to 154 of the family's 154-position model. The record is from RNAcentral. Lineage: Eukaryota; Fungi; Glomeromycota; Glomeromycetes; Glomerales; Glomeraceae.